RNAcentral lists this ribosomal RNA (217 nucleotides) under Ignavibacteria bacterium 13_1_40CM_2_61_4. RNAcentral describes it as "partial 23S ribosomal RNA". The record is from RNAcentral. Lineage: Bacteria; Pseudomonadati; Ignavibacteriota; Ignavibacteria.
CGCCUGCCCAGUGCCGGAAGGUCAAUGGGAGAGCUGAAAGGCUCGAACUGAAGCCCCGGUGAACGGCGGCCGUAACUAUGACAAAGACCGUUGUAGUUCCGAGAAAAAAUCUGGCCAUUUGCUGGGACACCCGUGAAUCCUGCGCUACCUCAUGUCAAGGCGAUGCCGAUGUAUGAGGUGACAAAGCAGCAGGUGCGGACAAUCAGCAGGAAAGACU